AACCGGAAGCGGAAGCGCCGCGUUUCUCAGAGUUUGAAUGUCUUGUGUUGUGUGAGCGAGUGAGUUGAUUGUUGUGAGAAUGUUUGGUGACUGUUUGUUGUUUGUUUGUGUAUACUUCUGUUUUAAAAAACCUACACACUGAUCUUAUUUGAUCUGGUCUGAGUUUGGCUCUGCUCUGAUCGGAGAUGAUAGGAAAAGCGCCUGCAAGCUUUCGUAGCGAUGAGCAAGUCGGCGAGAUUCAACUUGUAGGGCCUCCACGCUUCGUGCUGUGGUCAGAGGUGAUGAAUUGAUCAGAUAUACUAGUUCUGGCUGAGCUUGGGUUCAUCUCGAGUUUCACAAUGGACAAUGAGUACAGAGGCGAUUCUGAUCUAA
This is a non-coding RNA of Mugil cephalus (flathead mullet), 372 nucleotides long. RefSeq annotates it as small Cajal body-specific RNA 2. NCBI's taxonomy places the organism in Eukaryota, Metazoa, Chordata, Actinopteri, Mugiliformes, Mugilidae. The transcript has a single exon. The record is from RefSeq and is a predicted model, not a curated record.